GGCGAACGGGUGAGUAACGCGUAGGCGAACCUGCCCUCCGGCCGGGGGACGAACACUCCGAAAGGGGUAGGCGUAAUACCGGAUACGAAGUCUGUGCCGCAUGGUACGGAUUUGAAAGAUGGCCUCUAUUUAUAAGCUAUCGCCGGGGGAUGGGCCUGCGUCCGAUUAGCUGGUUGGUGGGGUAACGGCCUACCAAGGCGACGAUCGGUAGCCGGUCUGAGAGGAUGAACGGCCACAUUGGGACUGAGACACGGCCCAGACUCCUACGGGAGGCAGCAGUGGGGAAUCUUCCGCAAUGGGCGCAAGCCUGACGGAGCAACGCCGCGUGAAGUGGGGAAGUUCUUCGGAACGUAAAGCUCUGUUGUUCCUGACGAACCUCCCCUCUAUCAACAACAGAGGGGACUGACGGUAGGGAACGAGGAAGCCACGGCUAACUACGUGCCAGCAGCAGC
RNAcentral lists this ribosomal RNA (452 nucleotides) under uncultured bacterium. Its description in RNAcentral is "bacterial SSU rRNA". It matches the Rfam family "Bacterial small subunit ribosomal RNA", at positions 97 to 518 of the family's 1533-position model. The record is from RNAcentral.